UGCCAGCCGCCGCGGUAAUACGAAGGGAGCAAGCGUUGUUCGGAAUCACUGGGCAUAAAGGGCACGUAGGCGGCCUAGUAAGUUGGAUGUGAAAGCCCCUGGCUCAACCAGGGAAUUGCAUUCGAAACUGCUGGGCUUGAGGCCGGUAGGGGAGUGUGGAACUUCUAGUGUAGCGGUGAAAUGCGUAGAUAUUAGAAGGAACGCCGGUGGCGAAAGCGACACUCUGGACCGGUUCUGACGCUGAGGUGCGAAAGCUAGGGGAGCAAACAGGAUUAGAUA
Molecule: ribosomal RNA, 279 nt
Filed under: uncultured bacterium
Lineage: Bacteria
Description: partial 16S ribosomal RNA
Rfam family: Bacterial small subunit ribosomal RNA
Source: RNAcentral